UCGCUGGAGGAUGAAUUUCCACUUUGCGUUUGUGUUAUAAACAGACAAAAGAUGGAGUAACAAGCCAAGUAUUCCAGUGAGGCAGCAAAAUCGAAGGGUCAACAACAGCUAUCAGAGAGUAUUCCAGGAAAUAAAUGAACAUCAGACUUUACACAUCAAGGUGUACUAUAACGCGGAAUGGGAAUUGAGACUCUUGGAAAAUAGGAAAGAAAAAAACCAGCCUGCGUGAAAAAUUGCUGCUUUCCUUCUACAUCUGCAAAUGUUCCUCUUCAAGGGAGAUGCAAGGUAAAGAGCUCACAGCUCAACUCCUCUGGACAGCGAAAGGCAAGAAGGUAAAGGUAAGAGAGUUUCUUCAGACCUCUAACGUACAGCUUUGUAUAGUUCUUUGAAAUACUUUUAAUAGAAGUGUCACAUGCCUCUGAGAUUUUAAAGCAGUAUCAUUGCUGUAGCCAACAUCUGUCAUUAAUUUUCCUGCUUCUCGGAGUUGGACAUAAGUAUCUGACACAAAAAGGUUUAACUCAUUAACUUUGGGUUAACCGGUUUCAUGUAAUAAGCUGAUCUU
This 562-nucleotide long non-coding RNA is filed under the name Struthio camelus australis. Its description in RNAcentral is "lncRNA (ENSSCUG00000002678.1)". The record is from RNAcentral. Lineage: Eukaryota; Metazoa; Chordata; Aves; Struthioniformes; Struthionidae.